GACGAACGCUGGCGGCGUGCCUAAUACAUGCAAGUAGAACGCUGAAGGAGGAGCUUGCUCUUCUGGAUGAGUUGCGAACGGGUGAGUAACGCGUAGGUAACCUGCCUGGUAGCGGGGGAUAACUAUUGGAAACGAUAGCUAAUACCGCAUAACAGUAGAUGUUGCAUGACAUUUACUUAAAAGGUGCAAUUGCAUCACUACCAGAUGGACCUGCGUUGUAUUAGCUAGUUGGUGGGGUAACGGCUCACCAAGGCGACGAUACAUAGCCGACCGAGAGGGUGAUCGGCCACACUGGGACUGAGACACGGCCCAGACUCCUACGGGAGGCAGCAGUAGGGAAUCUUCGGCAAUGGACGGAAGUCUGACCGAGCAACGCCGCGUGAGUGAAGAAGGUUUUCGGAUCGUAAAGCUCUGUUGUAAGAGAAGAACGAGUGUGAGAGUGGAAAGUUCACACUGUGACGGUAUCUUACCAGAAAGGGACGGCUAACUACGUG
RNAcentral lists this ribosomal RNA (494 nucleotides) under uncultured bacterium. RNAcentral describes it as "partial 16S ribosomal RNA". It matches the Rfam family "Bacterial small subunit ribosomal RNA", at positions 28 to 507 of the family's 1533-position model. The record is from RNAcentral.